GUAGAGAACACCUACAUUUGUGACUACUAUUUGUAUAUAAUCAAAUAGCACAAAUGCUGAUGGGUCUGUGAACAUGUACUUCAACAUUGCGCUUAGCUUGGCCUUGGGCGUAUUCUUUGUCUCCGCUCGUGAAAUCGAAGAGUUGUUUAGCUUGAUCGACGACGAUUAUCUACGUGAAUUAGUAAGAAAUGCCGAAUUAGAGGUCCAAAAAUUGCGUGAAAUUGAAAG
This is a long non-coding RNA of Centruroides sculpturatus (bark scorpion), 228 nucleotides long. RefSeq lists it as uncharacterized. Lineage: Eukaryota; Metazoa; Arthropoda; Arachnida; Scorpiones; Buthidae. The record is from RefSeq and is a predicted model, not a curated record. The transcript is spliced from 2 exons.